UGGGGAAUAUUGGACAAUGGGCGCAAGCCUGAUCCAGCAAUGCCGCGUGUGUGAAGAAGGUUUUCGGAUUGUAAAGCACUUUCAGCGGGGACGAUGAUGACGGUACCCGCAGAAGAAGCCCCGGCUAACUUCGUGCCAGCAGCCGCGGUAAUACGAAGGGGGCAAGCGUUGCUCGGAAUGACUGGGCGUAAAGGGCGCGUAGGCGGUUGACACAGUCAGAUGUGAAAUUCCUGGGCUUAACCUGGGGGCUGCAUUUGAUACGUGGCGACUAGAGUGUGAGAGAGGGUUGUGGAAUUCCCAGUGUAGAGGUGAAAUUCGUAGAUAUUGGGAAGAACACCGGUGGCGAAGGCGGCAACCUGGCUCAUGACUGACGCUGAGGCGCGAAAGCGUGGGGAGCAAACAGG
This 404-nucleotide ribosomal RNA is filed under the name uncultured Pseudomonadota bacterium. Its description in RNAcentral is "bacterial SSU rRNA". It matches the Rfam family "Bacterial small subunit ribosomal RNA", at positions 355 to 776 of the family's 1533-position model. The record is from RNAcentral. Lineage: Bacteria; Pseudomonadati; Pseudomonadota.